RNA transcript from Mirounga angustirostris (Northern elephant seal), 5417 nucleotides. It is a transcript of the gene named NF2, moesin-ezrin-radixin like (MERLIN) tumor suppressor, with no coding region annotated. The transcript is spliced from 19 exons. The record is from RefSeq and is a predicted model, not a curated record. NCBI's taxonomy places the organism in Eukaryota, Metazoa, Chordata, Mammalia, Carnivora, Phocidae.
GGGGCGGGGAGCAGGCCGGGGUCUGUGGGGAGGGGACGAUUCCCGCGGGCGCGCGGAGAGAGGACGGUGACAGCCACGCGCGCACGUGCGCGCCUGGCCGCAGCGCGGCCCCGAGACCUCCAUCGGCCGCUGAGAGGCGCGCGGGGGCUGGGCCGCUGCCGUCGAGGGGCCCCGUCCCGGGGCGUCCCCGGCGUCCCCAGCGUCCCCGGCCCGAGUCCCUGAGCACCGGGCCGAGCCCACCCCGUCGGUCCUGGCUAGUGUUUCGUCCCGGUGGCCGUAAGGGCCCGUCCCCCAACUCCCCUUUACGCUCCCGGGGCUGGGUCCUCACGGUCCAUGCUGGCCGCUGGGGGCCUGCGCCGACCAGAGAGCUCCCAGGCCGGCCAGUUGGCUACCAUGGUGGCCCUGAGGCCUGUGCGGCUCCUCCAGGGGGGCUAACAGGUCCGGAGCGCAGGCCUCGGGGCGCGAGGGUCCCGGGCCUGAGCCCCGCGCCAUGGCCGGGGCCAUCGCUUCCCGUAUGAGCUUCAGCUCGCUCAAGAGGAAGCAGCCCAAGACGUUCACCGUGCGGAUCGUCACCAUGGACGCUGAGAUGGAGUUCAACUGCGAGAUGAAGUGGAAAGGGAAGGACCUGUUUGACUUGGUGUGCCGGACCCUGGGGCUUCGGGAAACUUGGUUCUUUGGACUGCAGUACACGAUCAAGGACACCGUGGCCUGGCUCAAAAUGGACAAGAAGGUGCUGGAUCAUGAUGUUUCAAAGGAAGAGCCAGUCACCUUUCACUUCCUGGCCAAAUUUUACCCUGAGAAUGCCGAGGAGGAGCUGGUUCAGGAGAUCACGCAACAUUUAUUCUUCUUGCAGGUAAAGAAGCAGAUUUUAGAUGAAAAGAUCUACUGCCCUCCCGAGGCUUCUGUGCUCCUGGCUUCUUACGCCGUCCAGGCCAAGUACGGUGACUAUGACCCCUCUGUUCACAAGCGUGGAUUUUUGGCCCAAGAGGAAUUGCUUCCAAAAAGGGUAAUAAAUCUGUAUCAAAUGACUCCAGAAAUGUGGGAGGAGAGAAUUACAGCCUGGUACGCAGAGCACCGGGGCCGAGCCAGGGAUGAAGCUGAAAUGGAAUAUUUGAAGAUAGCUCAGGACCUGGAGAUGUACGGUGUGAACUACUUUGCAAUCCGGAAUAAAAAGGGCACAGAGUUGCUGCUUGGAGUGGAUGCUCUGGGCCUUCACAUCUAUGACCCUGAGAACAGGCUGACCCCCAAGAUCUCCUUCCCAUGGAAUGAAAUCCGAAACAUCUCAUACAGCGACAAGGAGUUUACUAUUAAACCAUUGGAUAAGAAAAUCGACGUCUUCAAAUUCAACUCCUCAAAGCUUCGUGUUAAUAAGCUGAUUCUCCAGCUCUGUAUCGGGAACCAUGACCUUUUUAUGAGGAGAAGGAAGGCUGAUUCUUUGGAAGUUCAGCAGAUGAAAGCCCAAGCCAGGGAGGAGAAGGCUAGAAAGCAGAUGGAGCGACAGCGCCUUGCUCGAGAGAAGCAGAUGAGGGAGGAAGCAGAGCGCACGAGGGAUGAGCUGGAGAGGAGGCUGCUGCAGAUGAAAGAAGAAGCGACAAUGGCCAAUGAAGCUCUGAUGCGGUCUGAGGAGACGGCUGACCUGUUGGCAGAAAAGGCCCAAAUCACAGAGGAGGAGGCAAAACUCCUGGCACAGAAGGCCGCAGAGGCUGAACAGGAAAUGCAGCGCAUCAAGGCCACAGCCAUUCGGACAGAGGAAGAGAAGCGCCUGAUGGAGCAGAAGGUGCUGGAGGCCGAGGUGCUGGCGCUGAAGAUGGCGGAGGAGUCAGAGAGGAGGGCCAAGGAGGCAGAUCAGCUGAAGCAGGACCUGCAGGAAGCCCGUGAGGCAGAGCGAAGAGCCAAGCAAAAGCUCCUGGAAAUCACCACCAAGCCCACAUACCCGCCCAUGAACCCAAUUCCAGCACCGUUGCCUCCCGACAUACCAAGCUUCAGCCUCAUUGGUGACAGCCUGUCUUUCGACUUCAAGGAUACUGACAUGAAGCGGCUUUCCAUGGAGAUAGAGAAAGAAAACCGUGAUGCACGAUGUCCUCUUGCCGGCAGAGUGGAGUACAUGGAGAAGAGCAAGCAUUUGCAGGAGCAGCUCAAUGAGCUCAAGACUGAGAUCGAGGCCCUGAAACUCAAAGAGAGGGAGACAGCCUUGGAUAUUCUGCACAACGAAAACUCCGACCGGGGUGGCACCAGCAGCAAGCACAAUACCAUCAAAAAGCCUCAAGCCCAAGGCAGAAGACCUAUCUGCAUUUGAGCCCUGAAAAGGGAAGAGGCUCAGAGAGGUCAAGGGUGUCCACUGAAGCCACACAGCAAGCUGGUGAGAGGAGAAUUAGUGCCUGGACCUUCUCAGCCGCAUGUGGAGCUCCUGCCUUUUCCAUGCAUCCCACCAUUUCUCUCUAGCCUACAUCUGAUUGACUCAACAAACAUUGUCAGAGCUGCUACUAGCCAUCCCUCCUGGCAUGUCCUCAUUUGUCACUUCCUAAUUUGAGUUCCUGGGCAAAUCUGGAAACUUACUUAGGAUUGGCCGCCAGCUUCUUCAGCAUCUGUCUGAGCAGUCUUCCCUUCCACUCCAAACCAGCCCUGAGCUCACCUUGCAGAGCGCCAAGUCCCGAGUGGCCUUCUUUGAAGAGCUCUAGCAGGUGCCCAGCCACCCCAGGAUCUGUCACAUCUGCUGCUUCCUGGCAUCAGAGGGAUGGGUCAGACACCGUGGGAGUCAUCGUAGGUGGGCUGGCUGGGAGCUUCCGUGGGAGCUCUGGAACUUUCCCCAGCUGAGUGGAGAGCCCAACCCCCUUCAUGUGCAAUUGCCUUGAACUGUGACCUGCAGAGAGCUCUCUUGUGGGGUUCUAGUUCUUUUUAAAAUUUUUAAAAGAAGUAUUUGUCUUUCCUCAUCUGACGUGGGGUUUCAUACUUCCUUUGUCAGAGGCACCCUGGGGUGUGUGUCUCACGUCCAGUGCUGACCUUCCCAGCUCAGGGAAGUGGUUGUAGGGAGUGAAGUGCACAGGAGCCCUGGAGACAGGGAGGCUGGCGCCACUGCCCCCGCCCUAUGCUAGGUCCCAGAACAUUCAUCUCCACUGGUGAGGAACCGGCAUGCGAAGAAGUGUGGCCCGCCCAAGCCCAGGCCCAGAGCGGCCUGCCUGCCGGCCUGCCUGCUGCACAUCAUCGCUGAGCUGGCCUGUGGCUCAUGACAGGCCACGCGAUGGGUCUUCAGCCCAGGCGCCCCCGAGGCCGCGCGCUGGCUGCCGGCUGGUGGGGAAUGGGAAAGGCAGCUGUGAAGGGGGAAGACUCUAGGCAGAAGCUGUGAUGACGGGCUGGCUGCCAGCAGAGGGGCAGGGAGGCCAGCAGAGCUGUAUAGGAAUCUGCUCCACACAGAACACUCACUCCCCUUCUGCUGCCUCAGACCAGGGUCCAAGCGGCAGGCGGGAGCUGCGUCUUCCUCACCCCCUCAGCCUCAGUCUUUCCUGCCUGUGGCGGGCUGGGGAACUCCCCGGGCUCUUGUAGUCAGCACCUGAGCCCCGCCAGGCUCUGUUAGGGCUCUGAGGCCCCGCAGGUACUUCUUCUUGCUGAGGCCUCCGUCUGUGUGGCUGACCUGAAUCCCCUCUCCCUCUGGCCACGUGCCAGCAAGCCCUUCCUAAGCCUUGAUUGUAUUGGGCCUCCUUCUGGUGUUGCCCUUGUACCCCAGCCGGCCCUUUAUUUUAUAUGCCCCCUUGGGCCAUGUGGGGUCCCUCGUGCCCCUCCCAGCACAAGCCAGGUGUCCCCUCCCUGUUGGUGCUCUGCCACUCGGGCAGCAGCAGGCCACAGAGCCACCCCCGUGGCACCAGCCGCCUUAGUUUGGGGCUACUUUGUUUGCUCUGUGGUUUGGUGGUGCUUCUGUGACCCACUGGCCAUUCAGAUCCUUCCGACGGGGCUGGUAUACAGAGCAGGAGUUAAGUCUGAACCAGCGAAAAGAGGCUUACUAAGUGAAGACAUGUGAAGGCCUGGAGAUUUCCUGCGAGUGGGGGUGGCUCUGGCUGUCCUGUGUGGUUUUGAGAAACUCCUAAAGAUCCUGCCUUCUUUCCACACUCAGGCCGACCUGACAGUGUCCCAGGCGGGCCACCCUGCUAUUUGGGGCCACGUUGCCCUGAGGAAGGCAGCCCUGUGGGUACCCAAGCCCCUUAGGGCCGCUUAGGGCAUGCAGGGUGGGAUGGCUGUGGCUGAAAGAGCUUCCUUGUGUCUCCCCGUCCCUCAAAUGCCUCUUCCCCCGAGACGUGGUCCCAGGGAGGCAUUUGUAAUGUAGGGCCUGGCUCUUGUGUUGAGGCUCUGUCUCCCCAGGCUCACCAGCCAUCCCUGAAUUUCCAUGACAAGUUACUCUUCUCCUGACCUGUAAAUUGAAUCUGUAACAGUGGCUGUGGGCACAGGAGCAUGGUAGUGGUUUAUAUAAAUGUUGUCGGGCUUUGUUGUUUUUAUUAUUUAACUGCUGUGUGUGUGUUCCAAGUCCGGGAACUGCCGAGCCACGUGGCCACAGGGGAGCCAGCUAGCAUCUGAGCUGUGGCAGGGGCACCCUGGGGCCCGAGAGCGGACUGGGGGAGGGGGGCAGCAGAGCCUCGCUCACCCAGGAACACUUCAGCUCUCCUUGGAGGCUGGAGAGGGCGGUGGCCCUCAGAAAGGCCUUGAGCCACAGUGGAAGGAAAAGGAAGGAAAGAGGAGCUCAGUUUUCAGGGACUCGUGCCUGUGGCUCAGGUGACCGUGCUCUUUUCAAGUGAACAUUUUGGGGGCACAGGAGCUUAUUAGGUAAGGAAGCCUCUGUGCCCCCCCCCGAGAGCAGGGCCCUAGCCACAGCGAUUUCAUUACGGGCACUUCUGAGGGUUCUCAGGCUGCCCAGCUGGUGACACCCCGUGCGGCUGCGCUGUUGGCCCUUCGCUGUUGCACACAGACCACCUCGCUCAUCCUGACUGGGGCCCUGCCUCAGCCCCAGCCACGCUCUGACCUGUGGCGUCUGCUCAGUUAUCCCUGUACCUGCCAGGCCACGCUAGACAACACCCCGUGGCAUUACGUAACACUUCUUAAGUGACUGUGUUUUGUAAUCUUGGGGACAGGCUUCUCUCUCCCUCUCUUUUCUCUUACAAAUCAAAACAGCAAAUCCAGAGGCUGACAACCAGGACGGGGACGGAGUGCUGCUCGCUGACAGGGCUGGGGCCUUGCAGCCCCCGGAGGGGCCGCCUCAGUGGGGAGACAGCCCCUCCCGGCUGCCCGGGGGCCAGGCUGGCCCCCGUGGGCUUCCAGGGAAGCUCCAUCCCUUUCCAAGAUGUCAAACCGCAUUUGUUCCAAGGCUAUUUUCUAUUCCGGGGGAUUGUAAUUUAAGUGAUUGUUUUAAUAAAAAUUCUAAGCCGUCAAAAGUA